Macaca fascicularis (crab-eating macaque) is the source of this 148-nucleotide unclassified non-coding RNA. It matches the Rfam family "Metazoan signal recognition particle RNA". From Rfam's summary of the family: The signal recognition particle (SRP) is a universally conserved ribonucleoprotein. It is involved in the co-translational targeting of proteins to membranes. The eukaryotic SRP consists of a 300-nucleotide 7S RNA and six proteins: SRPs 72, 68, 54, 19, 14, and 9. The record is from Ensembl. Lineage: Eukaryota; Metazoa; Chordata; Mammalia; Primates; Cercopithecidae.
GCUGGGCGUGGUGGCGCACACCUGUAAUCCCAGCUAUUCGGGAGGCUGAGGCAGGAGAAUUCCUUGAGCCCAGGAGGCAGAGGUUGCAGUGAGCUGAGAUCGUGCCACUGCACUCUAGCCUGGCCAACAGAGUGAGACUCUGUCUCAA